This 1654-nucleotide long non-coding RNA is filed under the name Cinara cedri. The record is from RNAcentral. Lineage: Eukaryota; Metazoa; Arthropoda; Insecta; Hemiptera; Aphididae.
UUUAAAAAAAGACCUAGGUUUUUCUCAUUAUCUCAAAUAUUAAUGAGAAUUUCAAAAAAUGACUUUUCUCUCAUGUUAUAAUAAAAUGAUUAUAUUUUCUUUAAUAAUGUUUGUUUAAUAUUGGACUAUUUUCCCGUUUGCAUAUGAUUCUGUACAUGAACUCGGCACUUGUAUUAAAACCAAGCUCAACGAUCGAUUUAUUUGAAUAUACCGCCAAAUAUUUUAGUAGCCGGAUAUCACAGUUUUAGCUUAAAUACCUAUUUAUUUUAAUUUUAGAAUUAACCAUGGUGCAUUGGGUAACACCUUACUGGUAGGAUUUGUGUUAUCAAGUUCGAUAUCAUCCGACGCGCAGUAAAUUUUCGCACUUAUUUUUUUGUAAAAAAAAAAUAGGCGUCUAAUUUCCGUAUGUGAUUUAAACGUUUUUAUUUUGCCCAGAAGCUCACCCCAAUCGAAUUUUUUUUUAUUCACUUUCUCCUAUUGCCUACUUAACGUGGUUUUACACAUCAAAUCGGGAGUUAUUUUCGAUUAAAACAGUCCGAGCGAGCGAGUAACCCUGCUAGGUCUUUAAGUGCAUCCAAAAUGCUUUUUUUACUUUUCCCUAUCACUUACCCGACGUGGUUUUGCACAACAAAUCGAGUGUUAUUUUUAAAGUAUAUAAAUUUCAUUCAAAUAAUUCUAAUAUGUACUAUAUGUUUUACAUAAAAUAUUUGGCGGUAUAUUUAAAUUAACCAAUUGUAGAACUUGAUUUAUUACAGGUGCCGAUCUCAUGUAUGGAAUGCUUAUAUGCUCCCCGUUCUAUCGUUUUUUUUUUCGAAUUUUCCAAUAUAUUGAGAAAAUUCCUGAGAAAAUCAAAAAAAUGAUCUCCUUAAAGUACCUUUCCAGUCAAAUUUUUUUCAGAAAAAGUGCUAUCAUUGUAAAUUAGAGCAAGGUUGCUAUAAUAUUUGCUGUAAUAUUUUUUAACUAAUAUUUAAAUAUAUUGAACUACAUUUCGAGCAUUUUCCGGUUUUCCAAUAAAUAGAGAAAACUGCCAGGAAAAUCAAAAAAUGACCUUCCUCAAGUACCAUCCCAGGAAAAUUUACUUUCAAAAAUUAUGGUCUACAUCAUAUACAUCAAAAGCGAUAAGCUUUCUGAAUAUGUUUCGGAGUAAGCUAAACUCAGAAUCUAAAAUACAAUUCUGAAAGAUGUUCGUUUAUAAAUGUUUUGAAAUGCUGUAAACUUAAAACGAUAUUAUAUGUAAAAAAAAAUCUACUGCUUUAAUACUCAUUUUUUUUUUUGUAAGUAAUUACAACUAAUUAAAACUUGUAUUGGAACUUGUGUAAAAUUUGCAAGCAUAUCUGAUCAGCCAAAAUAAUUUAAUUUACAUAAAACCAAAUAAGUUGUAAUAGGAUCAGAAAAUGUAAAAUUUCUAUAAAGAGCUCGAACUCACUAUAAUGUUUUGAAAAUUUAACAAAAGUAAUUUGUAAACAUUUCAUAUCCUUAACUGAUUCACAAAAAAAAAAAAUAUAAUAAAAUCAAAAAUUAUGAAACCGUUAUUUUCGAUGACAAUAAUAGGUACCUAUAUUGAUUCUCGAAUUUCAGGAGUAGUUCAUCCUAUGAUACGAGGUCUUUACUUUUUGACUCUUAUAUGUUUUAAAACAUAAUAAUGUAUUAAUAU